CCUACGGGUGGCUGCAGUAGGGAAUUUUCCACAAUGGACGAAAGUCUGAUGGAGCAACGCCGCGUGCAGGAUGAAGGCCUUCGGGUUGUAAACUGCUUUUACUAGUGACGCGGUAACUAGUGAAUAAGGACCUGCUAACUACGUGCCAGCAGCCGCGGUCAUACGUAGGGUCCAAGCGUUAUCCGGAAUUACUGGGCGUAAAGAGUGCGUAGGUGGCAUAGUAAGCGGACAGUGAAAUCGUGUGGCUCAACCACAUAUACAUUGUCUGAACUGCUAAGCUAGAGAACGAGAGAGGUAGAUGGAAUUCCCAGUGUAGGAGUGAAAUCCGUAGAUAUUGGGAGGAACACCGAUGGCGUAAGCAGUCUACUGGCUGUUCUGACACUAAGGCACGAAAGCGUGGGGAGCAAACGGGAUUAGAUGCCCUGGUAGUC
Molecule: ribosomal RNA, 431 nt
Filed under: uncultured bacterium
Lineage: Bacteria
Description: partial 16S ribosomal RNA
Rfam family: Bacterial small subunit ribosomal RNA
Source: RNAcentral